RNAcentral lists this ribosomal RNA (395 nucleotides) under uncultured Glomeromycotina. RNAcentral's name for it is "SSU rRNA". It matches the Rfam family "Eukaryotic small subunit ribosomal RNA", at positions 569 to 971 of the family's 1831-position model. Lineage: Eukaryota; Fungi; Glomeromycota. The record is from RNAcentral.
AGCAGCCGCGGUAAUUCCAGCUCCAAUAGCGUAUAUUAAAGUUGUUGCAGUUAAAAGCUCGUAGUUGAAUUUCGGGAUCAUCAGGUUGGCCGUGCCUCUGGUAUGUACUUUCCUCGAUGGUUCCUCCUUCUUGAAGAUCCGUAAUGCCAUUAAUUUGGUGUUGCGGGGAAUCAGGACUGUUACUUUGAAAAAUUGAGUGUUUGAAGCAGGCAAUCGCUUGAAUACAUUAGCAUGGAAUAAUGAAAUAGGACGUUCGAUCCUAUUUUGUUGGUUUCUAGGAUUGACGUAAUGAUUAAUAGGGAUAGUUGGGGGCAUUAGUAUUCAAUUGUCAGAGGUGAAAUUCUUGGAUUUAUUGAAGACUAACUACUGCGAAUGCAUUUGCCAAGGGUUGUUUC